This 469-nucleotide ribosomal RNA is filed under the name uncultured bacterium. RNAcentral describes it as "partial 16S ribosomal RNA". It matches the Rfam family "Bacterial small subunit ribosomal RNA", at positions 28 to 507 of the family's 1533-position model. The record is from RNAcentral.
GACGAACGCUGGCGGCGUGCUUAACACAUGCAAGUCGAACGGAAAGGCCCUGCUUGCCGGGUGCUCGAGUGGCGAACGGGUGAGUAACACGUGGGUGAUCUGCCCCUUACUUUGGGAUAAGCCUGGGAAACUGGGUCUAAUACUGGAUAGGACCAUGCUGUAGGUGGUGUGGUGGAAAGAUUAGUUUCGGUAAGGGAUGAGCUCGCGGCCUAUCAGCUUGUUGGUGGGGUAAUGGCCUACCAAGGCGUCGACGGGUAGCCGGCCUGAGAGGGUGGACGGCCACAUUGGGACUGGGAUACGGCCCAGACUCCUACGGGAGGCAGCAGUGGGGAAUAUUGCACAAUGGGCGCAAGCCUGAUGCAGCGACGCCGCGUGGGGGAUGACGGCCUUCGGGUUGUAAACUCCUUUCAGCCAUGACGAAGCCCUUGUGGUGACGGUAGUGGUAGAAGAAGCACCGGCUAACUACGUG